AAUCGAACAUAAAAGCACGCGCAGGUGAAUGCAUCUCUAAUGGUGCCAGUCGGAUGAAAAUAGGAGUUUCAAGAGGCAAUCUCCAGAACUGCAUGCAGGGGACAAUCACGGUACAUGGCCACAAGAGAAAAUGGGCUUGGAUCUUGAGCCUUCAGCUGCUUAGUCCCUAGGAAGAAGUGCUGUCCCUUUAACAGCCAGCCACUCAUGAGUUUGCCUCACUCUGCUUUGGGGAAGAGCCAGGCGAACUGAGCCUGUAGAACCGUAUCUUGGUAACUAACACACACACACACACACACACACACACAGAGCUGCUAACAUUGAGGGGAGGGGAAAGAAGGAGGGGCUGUCACAGGCUGGGAGCCGUGAGAUCAGAUGUCAGCAGCUCAGGGAGACAUUCCCAGGAAGGGAAAAGUGCUGCUCAUUCAUCACCCUGCGCUGGGACAGCCUGGACCACAGCUGCUCUUGUGGAGAGGAAGCAACCCAGGAAGGGAGCUGCUGGGGACCCUGUCGAUGUCUCCCAACACCAGGGGCAGUGUCCUGGGUACUCCAUGGGCAGAACCACCAUCAGUUUUGUGAAUGUCAAAUAGCCCCACAUGACAAUAACGAAUGUGUAUCUGGUGAGGCAUACGAGCAACAUCACACAUUAACCCGCAGCAAAACAUCCCCACAACUGACUGACUGGAAUUUUACACGGGCUGGGAAAGGCCAUCUAAGGCUAGAUGCUACAGGAAACCCACUGCACUGAACACGCAGGCAGCUUCAUGCAACACAAGCUGGUGUGUGGUUUACGAAGCAGGACUAGCUUGCUGAGUGUAAAAGUACUAAUAAUUCGGUGUCUGCAGAAAGUGGCUUCCUGAAAAGCAGCAGCCCGUCUAACGCAGGCACUAGGGCACGGGGCUCAAGCGCUUUGAAUUUCUCAUGGGAGCAGCCUGAGACUGGCACGUUGCGCUGUCUGGUUGGUCGAUCCGCUGGCUCUGGCCAAUGAAGUGUUGUUUAUGGCGAGAGCUGUGCCGCGGGGAUGGCUCUGGAAGCUGGCAAGGGGAUUUGGGCGCAUUCAGCAAGGAGUAGCGCAACAGGAUGCUCCCAUGGGGGCAGCAGGGAUCAAACCCAGGACCUCUGGAUCUGAAAGCACGAGCCUCCACUCACUGAAGUCCACAACGACUGGACAGACUCAAACUUCUAGCUGAUUCAGCCACUACAGUGAGACAGAGAGGCACCCUGAGCAAGCACAGGCUACGCAAGGUUGCGUGUUCCAGUCCAGCCCAGGUCACUGGGGACAGAGUUGUUAAUAGGUGGGGGCCCAUAUGACACAAGGUGGUGGUCACGCUCCUGUUCCCACUAGACAGAUGGCGCCAUCGGCAAAGCCAGUCUCUGCCCAGAGCUUAAGGACUGAAAGGGCCUUGGAGUCUGACCUCCCCUCUCACUUGGAGGAGGGAUCACGCCACAUCAUGGCUGGGGCUCGUUGGCAAAAUGUGGAUGUUACCCCUAAAUAUGUGUACAAAUCAUCAUGAUCCAAAUGGGCUGAGUGGCAGGGUAAGGGGCUUAAAAAAUGCCAAUGCCAGUCGUGCUAGCCAGGUAAGUGUAUUCUGCUGUAAUUAGCCACAAGGUGUAACGGCCUCACUCCUGCCUCUGGAAAGAGCUGAUGGGUCCAGCUUCAUAGUUAAGACUGACAAGCCCUCGCCCCCCCUUGACGCCACUGUUUUUUGGAACAGAAGAUCUGCUCGCUACUAACCGUAUUAUCUGUU
Molecule: long non-coding RNA, 1745 nt
Filed under: Chrysemys picta bellii (western painted turtle)
Lineage: Eukaryota; Metazoa; Chordata; Testudines; Emydidae
Description: lncRNA (ENSCPBG00000009756.1)
Source: RNAcentral